Molecule: non-coding RNA, 174 nt
Filed under: Foraminifera environmental sample
Lineage: Eukaryota; Foraminifera
Source: RNAcentral
GAAACUCUUUGCAAAUAUCCAUAAUGAAUGGUGAACGCAUGCAAGGAUAUAUGAUGCCAGGAUGAAUAUAUUGGGAAACCAUCAAGAUAUUUCAUCAUUCCCAGCAGUUGGUAUGGUUUCAUUUUAUAUUUUUUGUUUUUUUACUUUUCUUCAUUUUUGCACUUUUUUUGAUAA